RNAcentral lists this unclassified non-coding RNA (206 nucleotides) under uncultured Sebacina. Its description in RNAcentral is "sequence contains ITS2". Lineage: Eukaryota; Fungi; Basidiomycota; Agaricomycetes; Sebacinales; Sebacinaceae. The record is from RNAcentral.
UACUCUCACACUCUCUAAUGUGACUUGCAUUAGGAGUGGUGGACUUGGGUGUUGCUGCUCUGCAGUGGCUCACCUCAAAUGCAUUAGUGCACCUCCUGGUUGGACAUAGUACGGCGUGAUAAGUGUCUUCGCCGGCACCUCCGAAAGAGGGGGUGGCUGAUUAGGAGCUCUGUGCUUCUCUAACUGUCUUAGGACACUCUCUGACA